GACAGAGGGUGCAAACGUUGCUCGGAAUCACUGGGCGUAAAGGGCGUGUAGGCGGGUAGAUAAGUCGGGCGUGAAAUCCCUAGGCUCAACCUAGGAACUGCACUCGAAAACUGUUUAUCUUGAGUGCCGGAGAGGAAAGCGGAAUUCCUGGAUGUAGAGGUGAAAUUCGUAGAUAUCAGGAGGAACACCGAUGGCGAAGGCAGGUCUCUGGGCCACUACUGGACGCUGAGA
RNAcentral lists this ribosomal RNA (231 nucleotides) under uncultured bacterium. RNAcentral's name for it is "partial 16S ribosomal RNA". It matches the Rfam family "Bacterial small subunit ribosomal RNA", at positions 524 to 751 of the family's 1533-position model. The record is from RNAcentral.